AGGUUGCUUCGCGGCCUAACUACUACUCCUCGGGACCGGCGGCCGUUUCAUCCGUUUCUCUCUGGCGACUGCCUAGAGUCCUCUUCCCGGAGGAGGAAUCAUGAUCUUCUGCGUCGUCGUCGUCCGCCACCAGAACAACCCGCUGUACCUGCACAGCUUCACGGAGGCGGACGACGCCCUCAAGCUCCACCACAUCGUUCACUGCUCCCUCGACGUCAUCGACGAGCGAGGCGCAUUAUUGCCUCGACAUCCAUUCUGUUGGCAGUGAACAAUUCUAAAAGGACAUUGAAUGAGACAUUUUUGGGUCUUCUGUACCCAACUGAGAACUACAGAGUGUAUGGCUAUUUGACAAACACAAAGGUCAAGUUUAUCAUGGUCACGACUGAUCUUAAUGCCAAAGAUGCAGAUGCCCGAAAUUUUUUCAGGAAGUUCCAUGCUGCAUAUGUAGAUGCCGUCUCAAACCCGUUCCAUGUCCCGGGGAAGAAGGUUGCUUCAAGAAGCUUUGGUGCAAGAGUAAGCACCAUCGUGAAAUCCUUCGGUUCUGGGACAACCAGUUGAUCCAACGCCACUUUUGGCAGACUUCCUGUAAUCAAACGUGUGUGUUCUCCCUGUUCGACAAAAUUACUCCUGACCGUGUACUGCUUGCAUGGUGAACGAGGUGCCAGUUUGGUACUGGUUGCGGAGCAAAGAAAGAUAGUGGUUCAUUC
Molecule: RNA transcript, 707 nt
Organism: Zea mays
Lineage: Eukaryota; Viridiplantae; Streptophyta; Magnoliopsida; Poales; Poaceae
Exons: 5
Source: RefSeq, marked validated